This 459-nucleotide ribosomal RNA is filed under the name uncultured bacterium. RNAcentral describes it as "SSU rRNA". It matches the Rfam family "Bacterial small subunit ribosomal RNA", at positions 26 to 518 of the family's 1533-position model. The record is from RNAcentral.
AGAAUCAACGCUGGCGGCGUGCCUAACACAUGCAAGUCGAACGAGAAAGUGGAGCAAUCCAUGAGUAAAGUGGCGCACGGGUGAGUAACACGUGACUAACCUACCUUUUAGUGGGGGAUAACCUAGGGAAACCUGGGCUAAUACCGCAUAAUACCUACGGGUCAAAGCAGCAAUGCGCUGAAAGAGGGGGUCGCGGUCGAUUAGUUAGUUGGCAGGGUAAUGGCCUACCAAGACUGUGAUCGAUAUCCGGCCUGAGAGGGCGCACGGACACACUGGAACUGAAACACGGUCCAGACUCCUACGGGAGGCAGCAGUGGGGAAUUUUGCGCAAUGGGGGAAACCCUGACGCAGCAACGCCGCGUGGAGGAUGAAGUCCCUUGGGACGUAAACUCCUUUCGAUCGGGACGAUAAUGACGGUACCGGAAGAAGAAGCCCGGCUAACUUCGCGCCAGCAGCCGC